This 204-nucleotide long non-coding RNA is filed under the name Musa acuminata (dwarf banana). Its description in RNAcentral is "long non-coding RNA (MACU_LNC009423)". The record is from RNAcentral. Lineage: Eukaryota; Viridiplantae; Streptophyta; Magnoliopsida; Zingiberales; Musaceae.
GAAUUGACAGUUUUGAGCUCCAAAUUUGAACUAGGUUGGGGCCUAUAAAUACCCCACCCAUUCAGCACUGAAAGAGCACUGAACAUACACCGAAAUCUUGAUCUUGUUCUGUGAUUUUUAGAGCUCAAAAUUAUUGUAAAGGCCAAAAGUUCUUCUCCCUCUUUUCUUCCAAGUUCUGAGCUUUAAAGAGAGGAGAGAAAAUUC